AUCACAUGAAUCCCUUUCAAGUCACGCAUGACAUGUUACUCUCUCUUACACUGCUCCCCUGAUACAAUAUCACGCUUUGUUUUGCUCUCCUCUCUUACUCUUCCUCUCCAUCUCUGUGACAAAGGUCAGUCCCCAAACACAAUGGCUGCUGGCAGCUGGUGGCCUGACUCACUGCCAAACCACUCGACCCUGCAGCUUAUCGGAGGAAGAUGGUCCACUUCUAUGCUGUCUGCCAUGUUACACCGCUAUGUUUCUACAGAAGCCCAGAAAGGACAAACUAAACCCUAAAGACAGCAGCAAACGUAGGUUCUCCAACACACUUGGAAGGGGAAGGUAAGUAACGGGUGUUCAAUUGGUUGCCAUUUGCAACCUCACUGCUACGUGCCACUAAAUCCAGCACACUGGACCUUUAAGGUUAGGGAACCAUGAUUUUGAAUAAUGUUGACUGUCGAUUAGAAACAAGACAUGACCAGCAGUCUCCUGUAAGUCUGAAGUUUUAUUGACCCAUACAUCAAUGGCAACUUUCUCCCUCUGCAGACUUUGUUACUCUUUAGCAACUUCACCUUACCUUCCUCCUUGACGUCAGCAUGUGUCUGUUAGAGGAAAAUUUUGCUGUAUUAAAUGUCAGGGACUGUAAUAGCCAGCAAUAAAUCAUACUGCUCUUACGUAAUAUGAGUUUGCUUCACCUCUAAAACAUCUAAUGGAAACUACUGUUUUGUACUAUAAUGUGUUAUCUCUGCUCUUUUUCUGUCUCCCUCUCUUAUUUGGAAUGAAUCACUCACAUGAGAGGAACUGAAGUGGCACUUCACUCUAAAAACAAACUCCUCUCUCCCUUUGGCGCCGGUGUUUACAGACGAGCUGUUUGUGGCCCAGAUGCAGAUCACAAAUCGUUGUUGUUAAAUGAAAACCUGAUGUCCCUUAUUGCCGAUAGUCAUAUGAAAAUCAUUAUAUCCAACGGAAGAAUUACGCACUCAUCUGAAAACUGAGGCCAUCUUCAAUCUUACGAAACACUAAUAAAUCAAGUUGCAUAAACC
RNAcentral lists this long non-coding RNA (1034 nucleotides) under Sparus aurata (gilthead seabream). RNAcentral describes it as "lncRNA (ENSSAUG00010014472.1)". Lineage: Eukaryota; Metazoa; Chordata; Actinopteri; Spariformes; Sparidae. The record is from RNAcentral.